Molecule: ribosomal RNA, 460 nt
Filed under: uncultured bacterium
Lineage: Bacteria
Description: partial 16S ribosomal RNA
Rfam family: Bacterial small subunit ribosomal RNA
Source: RNAcentral
CCUACGGGUGGCAGCAGUGAGGAAUAUUGGUCAAUGGGCGGAAGCCUGAACCAGCCAAGUCGCGUGAGGGAUUAAGGCCCUGCGGGUCGUAAACCUCUUUUGCCGGGGAGCAGAUGUCCGUACGUGUCCGGUCCGGGACAGUACCCGGAGAAAAAGCAUCGGCUAACUCCGUGCCAGCAGCCGCGGUAAUACGGGGGAUGCGAGCGUUAUCCGGAUUUAUUGGGGUUAUAGGGUGCGUAGGCGGGCAUUUAAGCCGGCGGUGAAAUGUCGGGGCUCAACCCCGGCCUGCCGUCGGAACUGGGGGCCUGGAGUGGGCGAGAAGUAGGCGGAAUGCGUGGUGUAGCGGUGAAAUGCAUAGAUAUCACGCAGAACCCCGAUUGCGAAGGCAGCAUACCGGCGCCCGACUGACGCUGAGGCACGAAAGUGCGGGUAUCGAACAGGAUUAGAUACCCCAGUAGUC